RNAcentral lists this ribosomal RNA (2043 nucleotides) under human gut metagenome. RNAcentral describes it as "bacterial LSU rRNA". It matches the Rfam family "Bacterial large subunit ribosomal RNA", at positions 744 to 2661 of the family's 2925-position model. The record is from RNAcentral.
GUUGAAGCGCGGGUAAGACCGCGUGGAGGACCGAACCCACCUGGGUUGAAAACCGGGGGGAUGACCUGGGGCUAGGGGUGAAAGGCCAAUCAAAUUCCGUGAUAGCUGGUUCUCUCCGAAAUGCAUUUAGGUGCAGCGUCGGUUGAUUGCAUCGCGGGGGUAGAGCUACUGGAUGCUUGCGGGCCCGUGUCGGGUACCAAUAGCAGCCAAACUCCGAAUACCGUGGAUGUGUAUUCCGGCAGUGAGUCGGCGGGGGAUAAGCUCCGUCGUCGAGAGGGAGACAGCCCAGAUCGUCGUCUAAGGUCCCGAAGCGUGUGCUAAGUGGGAAAGGAUGUGGAGUCGCAUAGACAGCCAGGAGGUUGGCUCAGAAGCAGCCAUCCUUGAAAGAGUGCGUAACAGCUCACUGGUCUAGUGGUUCCGCGCCGACAAUGUAGCGGGGCUCAAGCACGCCACCGAAGACGCGGCAGCGUCCGUUUGGAUGCUGGGUAGGAGAGCGUCCCCAUCGGGGCGAAGCGGCGGCGCAAGCCUGCCGUGGACCGUUGGGGAGUGAGAAUGCAGACAUGAGUAGCGAGAGGCGGGUGCGAAUCCCGCCCGCUGGAUGACCAAGGGUUCCGGGGCCACGUUCGUCGUCCCCGGGUGAGUCGGGUCCUAAGGCGAGGCCGACAGGCGUAGUCGAAUGGAUGAACGGGUGGAUAUUCCCGUACCGGCGGCGUACCGUAAGAGCCGAACGGAUGAGUACUAACCUCCGGUCGCGUGGCGUCGUUCCCUUCGGGGUUCGGUGUCCGCGGUCGUUGGGAGCGUAGUCCUGGUAGGCUAGCGCACAGGGGUGACACGGAAUGGGAGCCGGCCGCGGAGGUGGUUUUCCGUGGUCAAGCACGCAGCCCGUCCCAUAGGCAAAUCCGUGGGACGCAUAGGGUGAGGUGUGAUGAUGGGCGUCCUUUGGACGCGAUAUCCGGUGGUCCAGGCCGUCGAGAAAAGCCUCGGCGCGAGGGGCGUCGCCGCCCGUACCCCAAACCGACACUGGUGGUCAGGUAGAGAAUACCAAGGCGAUCGAGCGAAUCCUGGUCAAGGAACUCGGCAAAUCACUCCCGUGCCUUCGGUAUAAGGGAGACCCCCUGGCGUGAAGAGGCUUGCCCUCGGAGCGUUGGGGGGUGGCACAGACCAGGGGGUAGCGACUGUUUACCAAAAACACAGGUGCAUGCGAAGGCGCAAGCCGCUGUAUAUGCACUGACGCCUGCCCGGUGCCGGAAGGUUAAGAGGAUCCGUCAGCCCCUUUUGGGGUGAAGCGGUGAAUUCAAGCCCCGGUAAACGGCGGUGGUAACUAUAACCAUCCUAAGGUAGCGAAAUUCCUUGUCGGGUAAGUUCCGACCUGCACGAAUGGCGUAACGACUUCCCCACUGUCUCGACCAGGAGCUCGGCGAAAUUGCAGUACGAGUAAAGAUGCUCGUUAAGCGCAGAAGGACGAAAAGACCCCGGGACCUUUACUAUACCUUGGUAUUGGCGUUAGGCGCGGAUUGUGUAGCAUAGGCGGGAGGCUUCGAAGCAUGGGCGCCAGCCCGUGUGGAGCCGCAAGGUGAAAUACCGCUCUGUUCUCGUUUGACGUCUAACCUCGAACAGUCAUCCUGUUCAGGGACAGUGCCUGGCGGGUAGUUUAACUGGGGCGGUUGCCUCCCAAAGAGUAACGGAGGCGCUCAAAGGGCCGCUCAGCCCGGUUGGCAAUCGGGUUUCGAGUGUAAUCGCACAAGCGGGCUUGACUGCGAGAACGACGGUUCGGGCAGGGACGAAAGUCGGAGAUAGUGAUCCGGUGCCGGCGCACGGGCGCGGCAUCGCUCAACGGAUAAAAGGUACCCCGGGGAUAACAGGCUGAUCAUUCCCAAGAGUCCAUAUCGACGGGAUGGUUUGGCACCUCGAUGUCGGCUCGUCGCAUCCUGGGGCUGGAGCAGGUCCCAAGGGUUCGGCUGUUCGCCGAUUAAAGCGGCACGCGAGCUGGGUUCAGAACGUCGUGAGACAGUUUGGUCUCUAUCCUCUGCGCUCGUUGGAAUC